Molecule: ribosomal RNA, 490 nt
Filed under: uncultured bacterium
Lineage: Bacteria
Description: partial 16S ribosomal RNA
Rfam family: Bacterial small subunit ribosomal RNA
Source: RNAcentral
GAUGAACGCUAGCUACAGGCUUAACACAUGCAAGUCGCGGGGCAGCAUGGGGGUUGCUUGCAAUCCCCGAUGGCGACCGGCGCACGGGUGAGUAACGCGUAUCCAACCUGCCCUUCACCACGGGAUAACCCGGCGAAAGUCGGACUAAUACCGUAUGUUGUCCAUUGACGGCAUCCGAUUUGGACGAAAGGUUUGACGGUGAAGGAUGGGGAUGCGUCCGAUUAGCUGGACGGCGGGGUGACGGCCCACCGUGGCGACGAUCGGUAGGGGUUCUGAGAGGAAGGUCCCCCACACUGGAACUGAGACACGGUCCAGACUCCUACGGGAGGCAGCAGUGAGGAAUAUUGGUCAAUGGGCGUAAGCCUGAACCAGCCAAGUAGCGUGCAGGAUGACGGCCCUAUGGGUUGUAAACUGCUUUUAUGCGGGGAUAAAGUGGCGCACGUGUGGGUUUUUGCAGGUACCGCAUGAAUAAGGACCGGCUAAUUCCGUG